Uloborus diversus is the source of this 452-nucleotide long non-coding RNA. RefSeq lists it as uncharacterized. The record is from RefSeq and is a predicted model, not a curated record. Lineage: Eukaryota; Metazoa; Arthropoda; Arachnida; Araneae; Uloboridae. The transcript is spliced from 3 exons.
AAAGCACGCCAGGUCUCCUGCACUGGACAUUUUUGCGCGGGAAAUGAAAGGCGGUCGGUGGUCCGUUGGCUUGGCGUUGAAUACAUGAAAAAUUUUUCAGAUGGGGUUCUUUCCGUUUCCUGCUGGGAAAACCGUUAGAUGCCAUCGUGGAUUGAUGAAUACCGUUGUACUUGAAUAAACAGGAACUCUUAACAGAAGCUUCUUUGUCAGCAGCAUCAGUUUGGGUGCCCGGUGAAGUAGCUUCAAAGAUUGCCCGUUUUUUUAAAAGUUGGCUCUCUUUUGAAGUGCUUUUCCAGGUGAAGCCCAAUUUUUAAUAUCGCCGUUUGCCUGUUGCAGACAUACCAGCUCCCUAGCUUUUGAUCUCUGCCCUUCUGCGAUGAAAGAAAUUUCUCCUGAUUUUAAUGCAAUAAAAAAGUCUUGUUUGCUGUCACCUAUAGGUAAGCAUAUAAAUG